This 1250-nucleotide ribosomal RNA is filed under the name metagenome. RNAcentral describes it as "bacterial LSU rRNA". It matches the Rfam family "Bacterial large subunit ribosomal RNA", at positions 1581 to 2821 of the family's 2925-position model. The record is from RNAcentral.
GGUUCCGAAGUGAUUGAUACCAAGCUUCCAGGAAAAGCCACUAAGCUUCAGUCUAGAGUUGACCGUACCGCAAACCGACACAGGUGGGCAGGAUGAAAAUUCUAAGGCGCUUGAGAGAACUCAGGAGAAGGAACUCGGCAAAUUAACACCGUAACUUCGGGAGAAGGUGUGCCCCGGUAGCGUGUAGAGACUUGCUCUCGAAGCGCGAUGGGGUUGCAGUGAAAUGGUGGCUGCGACUGUUUAAUAAAAUCACAGCACUCUGCAAACACGAAAGUGGACGUAUAGGGUGUGACGCCUGCCCGGUGCCGGAAGGUUAAGUGAUGGGGUGCAAGCUCUUGAUCGAAGCCCCGGUAAACGGCGGCCGUAACAAUAACGGUCCUAAGGUAGCGAAAUUCCUUGUCGGGUAAGUUCCGACCUGCACGAAUGGCGUAACGAUGGCCACACUGUCUCCUCCUGGGACUCAGCGAAGUUGAAAUGUUUGUGAAGAUGCAAUCUACCCGCGGCUAGACGGAAAGACCCCAUGAACCUUUACUGUAGCUUUGCAUUGGACUUUGAACCGGUUUGUGUAGGAUAGGUGGGAGACUGUGAAGCCGGGACGCUAGUUUCGGUGGAGUCAACCUUGAAAUACCACCCUGAUUUGUUUGAGGUUCUAACCUUGGUCCGUGAAUCCGGAUCGGGGACCGUGCAUGGUAGGCAGUUUGACUGGGGCGGUCUCCUCCCAAAAGGUAACGGAGGAGUACGAAGGUACGCUUAGGGCGGUCGGACAUCGCCCACAAAGUGCAAUGGCAAAAGCGUGCUUGACUGCGAGACCCACAAGUCGAGCAGGUACGAAAGUAGGUCAUAGUGAUCCGGUGGUUCUGUAUGGAAGGGCCAUCGCUCAACGGAUAAAAGGUACUCUGGGGAUAACAGGCUAAUUCCUCCCAAGAGUUCAUAUCGACGGGGGAGUUUGGCACCUCGAUGUCGGCUCAUCACAUCCUGGGGCUGUAGUCGGUCCCAAGGGUAUGGCUGUUCGCCAUUUAAAGUGGUACGCGAGCUGGGUUUAAAACGUCGUGAGACAGUUUGGUCCCUAUCUGCCGUGGGCGCUGGAAAUUUGAAGGGGGCUGCUCCUAGUACGAGAGGACCGGAGUGGACGAACCUCUGGUGUACCGGUUAUGACGCCAGUCGUAUCGCCGGGUAGCUAAGUUCGGAAGAGAUAAACGCUGAAAGCAUCUAAGCGUGAAACUCGCCUUAAGAUAAGAUUUCCCGGAGCC